GUAGGGUGCAAGCGUUAAUCGGAAUUACUGGGCGUAAAGCGUGCGCAGGCGGCUUUGCAAGACAGAUGUGAAAUCCCCGGGCUUAACCUGGGAACUGCAUUUGUGACUGCAUGGCUGGAGUGCGGCAGAGGGGGAUGGAAUUCCGCGUGUAGCAGUGAAAUGCGUAGAUAUGCGGAGGAACACCGAUGGCGAAGGCAAUCCCCUGGGCCUGCACUGACGCUCAUGCACGAAAGCGUGGGGAGCAAACAGGAUUAGAUACCCUGGUAGUCCACGCCCUAAACGAUGUCAACUGGUUGUUGGACGGCUUGCUGUUCAGUAUCGAAGCUAACGCGUGAAGUUGACCGCCUGGGGAGUACGGCCGCAAGGUUG
This 369-nucleotide ribosomal RNA is filed under the name uncultured bacterium. Its description in RNAcentral is "bacterial SSU rRNA". It matches the Rfam family "Bacterial small subunit ribosomal RNA", at positions 527 to 896 of the family's 1533-position model. The record is from RNAcentral.